UACGAAGGGGCGUAGCGUUGUUCGGAAUUACUGGGCGUAAAGCGCAUGUAGGCGGACAUUUAAGUCAGGGGUGAAAUCCCGGGCGUCAACCUCGGAACUGCCUUUGAUACUGGGUGUCUAGAGUGUGGAAGAGGUAAGUGGAAUUCCGAGUGUAGAGGUGAAAUUUGUAGAUAUUCGGAGGAACACCAGUGGCGAAGGCGGCUUACUGGUCCAUUACUGACGCUGAGGUGCGAAAGCGU
This 239-nucleotide ribosomal RNA is filed under the name uncultured bacterium. RNAcentral describes it as "partial 16S ribosomal RNA". It matches the Rfam family "Bacterial small subunit ribosomal RNA", at positions 524 to 762 of the family's 1533-position model. The record is from RNAcentral.